UGUGGUGUUGGUGAGCUCCGGGUGUAC
Molecule: small RNA, 27 nt
Filed under: Bombyx mori (domestic silkworm)
Lineage: Eukaryota; Metazoa; Arthropoda; Insecta; Lepidoptera; Bombycidae
Description: ovarian small RNA-35931
Source: RNAcentral